AUAUCCAUCAGGUGUCCAGCUGAUCACAUCCCAUUUUAUAGUAAUGUUUCCAUUUGGAUCAAGUGGAUCAAAGGCAUCUGUUGAGCUGAAGCUGAAGCAAGAAAUCAAGAAUAGUAAAAGUAUGGUGGAAGCAAAAAAUCUGAACAAGCUCAUUUUGUGUUGUAUAUAGCAGCUGUAUAUUUUCUUGAACCUUUAUUUUUUUUUUCUUCUGGUUUUCUGUGUGCUACGUACUGAAUGGGGGAUGAAAAAGAACAAAGAGUCAGGUGACAAGUGGAAGAAGCUAAUACAACUCUGAGGCCAAGCUUGUACAUUCCAAUAAACUUCACUUUAUUCAAA
RNAcentral lists this unclassified non-coding RNA (336 nucleotides) under Hevea brasiliensis (rubber tree). Lineage: Eukaryota; Viridiplantae; Streptophyta; Magnoliopsida; Malpighiales; Euphorbiaceae. The record is from RNAcentral.